RNAcentral lists this ribosomal RNA (249 nucleotides) under uncultured bacterium. RNAcentral describes it as "partial 16S ribosomal RNA". It matches the Rfam family "Bacterial small subunit ribosomal RNA", at positions 1147 to 1393 of the family's 1533-position model. The record is from RNAcentral.
GACUGCCGGUGACAAACCGGAGGAAGGUGGGGAUGACGUCAAGUCCUCAUGGCCCUUUAUGUGUAGGGCUUCACACGUCAUACAAUGGUCGGUACAGAGGGUAGCCAAGCCGCGAGGUGGAGCCAAUCCCACAAAAACCGAUCGUAGUCCGGAUUGCAGUCUGCAACUCGACUGCAUGAAGUCGGAAUCGCUAGUAAUCGCGGAUCAGCAYGCCGCGGUGAAUACGUUCCCGGGYCUUGUACACACCGC